UACGAAGGGUGCAAGCGUUACUCGGAAUUACUGGGCGUAAAGCGUGCGUAGGUGGUUCGUUAAGUCUGUCGUGAAAUCCCCAGGCUCAACCUGGGAACUGCGUCUGAUACUGGAUGGCUUGAAUCCGGGAGAGGGAUGCAGAAUUCCAGGUGUAGCGGUGAAAUGCGCAGAUAUCAGGAGGAACACCGAUGGCGAAGGCAGGUCUCUGGGCCAUAACUGACGCUGAGAAGCGAAAGCAUGGGGAGCGAACAGG
RNAcentral lists this ribosomal RNA (253 nucleotides) under uncultured bacterium. Its description in RNAcentral is "partial 16S ribosomal RNA". It matches the Rfam family "Bacterial small subunit ribosomal RNA", at positions 524 to 776 of the family's 1533-position model. The record is from RNAcentral.